Alligator sinensis (Chinese alligator) is the source of this 827-nucleotide long non-coding RNA. RefSeq lists it as uncharacterized. The record is from RefSeq and is a predicted model, not a curated record. The transcript has 3 exons. NCBI's taxonomy places the organism in Eukaryota, Metazoa, Chordata, Crocodylia, Alligatoridae.
UUUUGAAUUGAAUAGUCAUUGGCUAAGAGGUGUAAACAGAAUUGGGCACCAGGACUGGAGCCCAGGACCCCCUCCCUCCCUGGGCUACAGUAACACUCGUUCUUGCUGUUCCCUCUCUGCUUUCAUUCUGCAUAUCAGCCAGCUCCAACAGGAUGAACAGAGGCAGUGAGUGCCUUUAAAUCCGACCAGCUCCGAGCCUGUUAGUGAGGGCUCUCUCCUGGAAGCAAUCCCAGUCUGAAGUCAGCAAGGAGUCCCAAAGUCCCUUCUGAUUCUGGACCACAGAACAGAGUACUGAUCAUCAGACUAUCAUGACUUGUUGUAUUAUAGGCACCGCAGUUACAGUUCGCUUUUCACUGGUGAUGACCAUGGAGUCACCUCCCAAACUCCAUUCCUCAAACCUGUUUUGAACUGACCAGCACCUUCCUGCCUUCAACCCUUGCUACCUUGCUGCCCUGGAGUCCAACAGCCAGCAGCAGUCCCGAUCUGAUGGCACCCUACACUAAGCAUACUGCUUGGCAGUGGCCUGGAAAUGAUGGGCAAGCAUGGACUCCCAUUGGGUUAUAACCAGAUUCUUGAGCCAGCCCAUCUCAUUUCAUUCAUGUCCAAAAUUUGUUAUAAUGAAAAUAAAGUCACUGGAAUGACUUCUGGAUGAGAUAAUGGUUUUCCACUUUGAAAAUGAACUCUCCGCUUCCACAUUUAUUUUCUAUAAACGCCUUGGCAUUUAUAUUGCAACAGGAGACUACUGAAGUGACAUUAUCUGAUAAAUAUCAUGUUAUACAGCUGCAAUUUACAAUGCAUAUAUUUUUAACGGUGCUUCUAAGCUAAAU